AGAUUCGAGUGAACUGGAUCCAACUAAACAAACAAUUUUCCCCAUUUGCCAUUCCCGACGAGCACCUUCACCGUCUCCUCCCAGUCCCACCUCGCGUGGCACGCCAUGGCUUUCUCCCCGCGCUCGCCGUGGUCGCGUGCCAAGAAAACCGACGUCUACUCAACCUUCGUUGUCCACGGCGAUGACGAUGAAGACGACGCCCGCGGCGGCAGGGGCCCCUCCACGCGGGCGGAGGAAGACGAGGAGGAAGACCCCUCCUCGCUGCCUCCGCUUCUUCAGCGGCUCCCCAAGGACUUUGGCGGCGCCUCGUUCGACGACGACGAGGACCCCUACUCCUCCGACCCUGACGAUGCUUCCCUCUCUGCCACGGCGGCCUUCAAGAGCGGCGUCCCGGCCUCCGGUCGAUCUCCGUUCCUGGAUCUGCGGCGCUCAAGCCCCCGCGCUACCGAUGACGACCCGUACUCUACCUUCGUCGUUCAUUCCACCACACGCUCGGGGAGAACCUCCUCCAGCCCUCGCGGGUCCGCCUCCGGCACAUUCAUCCGUCGCUCGGGUGGCUCGUCUAGCCCUCGCGAGUCCGUCUCUGGCACAUUCAUCCGCCGGACCGGCAGCCCGUCGAGCCCCGGGAAGUCAGCCUCCGGCACAUUCAUCCGCCGGCCAGGGAGCCCGUCGAGCCCCCGCGGGUCGUUCUCUGGCACCUUCAUUCGCCACACCAGCGGGGGCUCCAGUUCCCAUGAAUCUGCCUCUGGCGGCGGCGGGGGUUUCGGGUCCUCUUUCUGGACUCCAGCGGUGGAGCAGUCAGAGGAGCUCCGGCAGCCAUCGCCUCUGAUGCAGCAACAACAGCAACAACAUUCAAGGCGGAAGCCAUCGGUCAGCUCGGUGCCAGACAGUGUUACCAGGGAGGAUCCUUCCACCAAGUACGAGCUGCUCCAUGAGCUUGGGAAAGGUUCAUAUGGUGCAGUGUACAAAGCAAGGGAUCUCAGAACGCAGGAGCUUGUGGCUGUCAAGAUCAUCUCAUUAACAGAAGGGGAAGAAGGCUAUGAAGACAUACGGGGAGAAAUUGAGAUGCUGCAGCAAUGCAGCCAUCCAAAUGUUGUCCGCUACUUUGGAAGCUACCAAGGAGAGGAGUACCUAUGGAUAAUUAUGGAAUACUGUGGUGGUGGAAGUGUUGCUGACUUGAUAGGCAUCACAGAGGAGCCUCUUGAUGAAUCCCAAAUAGCUUACAUUUGUAGAGAAGCACUAAAGGGCCUUGCUUACCUGCACUCCAUUUUUAAAGUUCACAGAGAUAUUAAGGGGGGCAACAUCCUUCUAACUGAGCAAGGCGAGGUGAAGUUGGGUGAUUUUGGUGUAGCUGCCCAGCUGACAAGAACCAUGUCAAAGCGCAACACGUUCAUUGGUACUCCACAUUGGAUGGCACCAGAGGUCAUUCAAGAAAGUCGUUAUGAUGGAAAGGUAGACGUUUGGGCAUUAGGUGUAUCUGCAAUCGAGAUGGCAGAGGGCAUGCCACCAAGAUCCACUGUGCAUCCAAUGAGAGUUAUCUUCAUGAUAUCUAGUGAACCAGCACCUAUGCUGGAGGAUAAAGAGAAAUGGUCUCUCCUCUUCCAUGAUUUUAUUGCAAAGUGUCUUACUAAAGACCCCAGACUUCGGCCUGCUGCAAUUGAGAUGCUGAAGCACAAAUUUAUUGAGAAGUGCAAUAGUGGAGCUUCGAAAAUGUUGGCAAAGAUCAAGGUAGCGAAGAAGAUUAGAGCCACACUAGCUGUGCAAAAUGAGCUGUCUGACCCUGACAAUACAACGCAAGAUGUGCCUUUUCGAAUAAAUGAGGACUAUGGGGAAACUGUCCCUACAAGUUCUCAGCAACACAUGAAACAUGGCACAUAUAAUGAUUGUCAGGCAGGUGAUUUUGGUACUAUGAUUGUUCAUACUGAAGAUGGGGACGAAGUGACAGAAUCACCCAUUUUCCCAAGAACAGAAUUCAUACCCGGCCUUGGUAGCAUCAAUUCUUUCACACAUGAUCCAAAGAGAGCAGAACUUAUUUCAAGUUUUUGGGCGGAGAACAUAGGUGAUAGUGAUGCCAAUAAAGACCGAGAUACAGAUUAUGGUCCUGACAUGCAGGAAUCAAAAGUGAUCUCACCUUUAACUGGAACAGUGAAGAAGAAUAUUGGUGCAGAAGGGACUAUAAGGUGCCAUGAUAAUCAAAUUAACUUGUCACCAGGACUUGCAAACACAACAACUAAAUUGAACAACAGCCCAAGCCGUAAAGCGUUUUCAGUUCAGGAUAAGCUCUGGUCAAUUUAUGCUGCCGGCAACACUGUACCAAUACCAUUUCUUAAGGCAAUUGACAUUUCACCACUAGCUCUAGUAUCAGAAAAUGAAUCAGGAAAUGGCCUGGCUGGGUCAAGUACAAAUGAUGCUUUGGAGGCAGUUAGGGAGCUGUUCAGUGGUGAUGGGCAGGCAAAGAAAGGACGGAAAGGGCAAAACGAAGUAUGCGGCAGAUUCUUUUCUUUAACUCUUGCAGAGUAACUUAUCUUUUAAUGAUUGCAGAGGGAAACUUAGGCCGUUCUUAGUGGGAGUUUCAUUCUCAUUAAAUGACAUACCACCUAAGCAAACAGGAUGACAUGGCAUGCAAUUCAAUGAAGGGGGAUAUGAGUUUCAUACUUUCAUGAGGAUGUAUCUAGACCUAGACAAAUGUUGACUUGACAGCUUUGGAAACAGUGCGAUGGAACUAUCCAUUGAGAAUGACCUUAGGCCAAUUUCAGUGGGGAGUUCUCUAACACAGUUGCCGGGACUGCCACGCCAACUUUUGUGUCUGUGCCAACGGGUUUCAUCCGAUAAAACUCCCUCUAUCUCUCUCCAUAGUUAACCUGGUCCCUCUUCCUCCGGGUGUGCAUCACAGGCUGACGACAAGCCCCACAUUGAUGAACCUGGCCCAAGCUCUAGCUUAUCAUAAAACGUGCUAUGAGGACAUGCCGCUACAAGAUUCACAAGCGACGCAAGAGCAGCAAACGAUACAAAAUCUUUGUGACACACUUCGCACAAUACUGAGGUUGUAGAUCUGCAAGAGUGAAGGCUGCAACCUUUGGAGUUCCGAAGCCUGCAUGGAGCCAAGGGUGAACGUGGCACUGAUCCUGCUCGUGGUGGAGAACUGAGGAUCGAAGGAACGCAUGACAUGUGCCUACCGUGGAGCAGGCCUAAUGGCUUCUGCGUUUUAGCCUGUGGACGCUUUGGUCACUGGAAGCUGGGUUGACACAGGAAUCUCUACGGAAGUGGAAAUUUCUGUCCCUGUUAAUAGCCUCUUGGAGUUUCACUAUGUAGAGACGGCAUCAAAUUUUGCUAAUCAGAUUUUGUGGCACUAACGCAUAUUGUAGCCUGGUUUUGUAUCGUUGUCAAUGCAUUUGUUCUCCAAAUAAAGAGAAAUAGUUAAGCAGAAAUAAACGAAAAGUUAUUUA
This is an RNA transcript of Zea mays, 3446 nucleotides long. It is a transcript of the gene named serine/threonine-protein kinase STE20, with no coding region annotated. Lineage: Eukaryota; Viridiplantae; Streptophyta; Magnoliopsida; Poales; Poaceae. The record is from RefSeq and is a predicted model, not a curated record. The transcript has 18 exons.